RNAcentral lists this ribosomal RNA (796 nucleotides) under uncultured Bacillota bacterium. RNAcentral's name for it is "bacterial SSU rRNA". It matches the Rfam family "Bacterial small subunit ribosomal RNA", at positions 72 to 902 of the family's 1533-position model. Lineage: Bacteria; Bacillati; Bacillota. The record is from RNAcentral.
AAAGGGAGCAAUCCUAAGUAAAGUGGCGCACGGGUGAGUAACACGUGGAUCAUCUACCUUUUAGUGGGGAAUACCUCUGGGAAACCGGAGACAAUACCGCAUAAGCCCGCAAGGGGAAAGCAGCAAUGCGCUGAGAGAGGAGUCCGCGGCCGAUUAGCUAGUUGGCGGGGUAAUGGCCCACCAAGGCGAAGAUCGGUAGCCGGCCUGAGAGGGCACACGGCCACACUGGCACUGAAACACGGGCCAGACUCCUACGGGAGGCAGCAGUGGGGAAUCUUGCACAAUGGACGAAAGUCUGAUGCAGCGACGCCGCGUGAGCGAUGAAGCCCUUCGGGGUGUAAAGCUCUUUCGACGGGAACGAUAAUGACGGUACCCGGAGAAGAAGCUGCGGCUAACUACGUGCCAGCAGCCGCGGUAAUACGUAGGCAGCGAGCGUUGUUCGGAAUUACUGGGCGUAAAGAGUGUGUAGGCGGUGUUCCCAGUCUGUUGUGAAAUCUCCCGGCUUAACUGGGAGGGUGCAGCGGAAACUAGAAUGCUAGAGGGUGGGAGAGGUAAGCGGAAUUCCUGGUGUAGCGGUGAAAUGCGUAGAUAUCAGGAGGAACACCUGUGGUGUAGACAGCUUACUGGACCACUUCUGACGCUGAGACACGAAAGCGUGGGUAGCAAACAGGAUUAGAUACCCUGGUAGUCCACGCCCUAAACGAUGCAUACUUGGUGUGAGCGAUUCAUUUCGUUCGUGCCGGAGCUAACGCGUUAAGUAUGCCGCCUGGGGAGUACGGUCGCAAGGCUGAAACUC